GAUGAGAGAAAAUAUAAAGUUGACUCAAAAGGAAAAAUAUACAUUUAAAGAUUAUCAUUAUAAAAUUACUUUAAAACUGCACAUGUAGCACAAAAAUUUCAGAUCUCGGUUAGUUUGUAUUUAUUAAUACCAUCAUCAAACUUUACUGGAUGUAUAAUUAAAAAUAGAUUUUGUAUGAAAACAUGUUUACACAAAAAUACGCAUGUGUAUUUCAUUAAAUAAAACUAGCGUAAACAUUUUCUUAAUAAACCCUAAUUUAAUGUUCCAAAUUAUUUUUUGCAAAUUAAGGCUCCAAGUCAAUUUAAUGUUCCAAGUUAACAUUCAUUAUUAAUUAUUAAUUAUU
Molecule: long non-coding RNA, 343 nt
Organism: Carassius carassius (crucian carp)
Lineage: Eukaryota; Metazoa; Chordata; Actinopteri; Cypriniformes; Cyprinidae
Exons: 2
Source: RefSeq, a predicted model, not a curated record